GAACUGGGGAUAUUGAUGAAUGAGAAGCUUGACAUGACCCAGCAAUGUGCAGGGGAGCAUUUAUGCUCAGUGAUUUUUGUUUCCCUGCCAGUGCCAGACAAAGAUAUUUGGAAGAUAAGAAUUUUGAAAACCUCCCUGGAAGAAUCUUAAGAGUCACUGUGCUAGUAGAAUCUGAACUGAAGACCACUUCCAUAGGAGUCUUAUCCUAUUGCAACUGGCAAUAGAUGGGUUUAUGAACCAGCUGUGAUUCCCAGAGGCACCAGAUGGCAGCAUUUUUCCCUCACUGAGUGUGAUCUCAUCCUCUCAGAUUCACUCCUGGGAUCAUCAGGCUUUGAGGCUUCGUAAGCCACAAUGACCUCAGCUGAACUGUACCUUCUCUGUUGCCACCUGCUCCUUUUUCCUACUUGUAUUGGACAUGCAGAGUCACAUUCAAGUGGCCUGAACACAAUCCAGGCCCUUGAACUUGUGGCUGCCUUUUGUUUGUGCAGGUCUGAGAGUCUAAAAAGAAUCAUUAGCAAACAGAUAUGCAAAAAUUUAGACCCACAGAAUACAGCUCUGACCUCCAAAUUUUCCACAUCCUCUAAAUAUUAAGUAUCAUGAAGUUUAUUUGAUGUUCUUGUUAACUACAUGCUCUUUUCCAUAUACACUCGUGUCCAAUGUAAUACUUGUCACCAGGCAAGUUUGGCAUGUGUCCUUUUCUAUUGAUGCUUUAUUCCUUGAAUAAUAUUUCAUUAUACACAACUUACAUAUGACAAGUUAUGUGCUACUAGACUUGUAACCUCCAUCGCAAGAACGCAGUUCUGGACAAAUAAUCUGAAGCAGAGCAGGGAUUUUGAGAACUAAACUGCAAGCUCUGGGUUUUUUUACAGUUACAGACAUGGCCUAAAGAUUUGCAAGCUGGGAAUUCUGUUAUCUCACCAUCCUCUGUUCUGCUUCUUCCCUUCAUCCUCACGUUCUUGCUUACAAUGCCGUUAUGUUGGUGGUUUUGUCUCAGAAGAAAAACACCUACACAUUAUGUCCAGCUGUAACAAACUAUUCUUAAAUUAUCUACCUUUAAACUUGGAUCCUGCAGCACUGGGAUGCAAAUGUUUUUUUAUUUGAACCAUGUGACUAACACUGAGAGCAUAAGAAGAGCUGUUUAUCCAAAGUGGAGCUGGAUUGCUGGGCCCUAGAGGGUGAAGGGGUAGCAGCCCUGGCUGCUGCUUUCUUUGUUACUCCAUCAGGUUGCUGGUGUUUCUGCUGUGGUGACUGUGUUAAUGUUUUACAAAUGCUAUGAGCUCAGUAGUAGACUAUUUGGGGAUUGUAUAAUUUAUUAACUUAUGACAAGCAGGCCAUUAUUUUUCUGAAGAACAUGUGUGACAAGGGACUUAUUUUAUUUUUCAAAUUUCAGCCAAGUUCAACGUGAGUGUCACAGGACAGAGGCACUAGAUCCUCGACAGCCCCACCCUUCCUCUUAUUUAAUACUGAAAACUAUCUGUAAACAAGCAAGACAGAGGGAGGGAAGAGUAAUUCUCGGAGGAAAUAUUAAGAAUCCUGUAUGAUUAAAAUAUUAGGCUGUGUAAAUUUGGGAAACAGUGCCAUUUUUUUCUGUUAAAAAAUUCUAAUUAAAAAAAAACAAACCAAAAUUCCUCCUACUUUAUCUCACUUUCUCGUAGUAAUUUCUUUCCAGUUCUGGAUUUGCCUGUACUUUGCCUUAAGCUAGUAUAUGCAAAGAGGACAGAUGUAGCUUUAUGCCCAAGAUGUGUGAAAUAAAUGCAAUGGAAGUAUAUGAGCAUCUCACCUGAAUGCGGAGUGGCAUUGCACCGCUGGAAGUCAAUUGUGUUAGUUUCACCUUACCCUCUAAAAAAGAAGGCAAAGACAUUUAAAUAUAUCUCCACUUUUUUAAUGAUUGAUGCAAUCCCUUGUGCACAGUUUCUUUGCAAAGUGGAAGAAAGAUGAACUGUAAAUACUUUCUUUUGUCUAACUAUAGCACUGUAAUUACUAUUUCACACCUUCUCUGAGAAAGACAAGCAGGUACCCGUGAUGAGCUUUGUGAGAGGAGAGAUGCUGAGAAGGUAAAAAGAGUGUCUGGUGUCACUCAGUAUGGAACAUUACAGCUUGCCAUUAUUUAUUUUGGAACUGUGACAACUGACCAAAAGAUGGGAACUAUAAAUAGGAAUGCAAUGAACAUUAGCUGCGCAAGAAGAAAAAAACAGUGUAACUUGGCAUGCAGCAAAAAGUGUAUCUGGCAUAGCAUACAGCUGU
Long non-coding RNA from Zonotrichia leucophrys gambelii, 2244 nucleotides. RefSeq lists it as uncharacterized. The record is from RefSeq and is a predicted model, not a curated record. The transcript has 4 exons. NCBI's taxonomy places the organism in Eukaryota, Metazoa, Chordata, Aves, Passeriformes, Passerellidae.